Molecule: ribosomal RNA, 386 nt
Filed under: Trapeliopsis granulosa
Lineage: Eukaryota; Fungi; Ascomycota; Lecanoromycetes; Trapeliales; Trapeliaceae
Description: SSU rRNA
Rfam family: Bacterial small subunit ribosomal RNA
Source: RNAcentral
CAAGAUCGACUAUGUUGACUAAAGUUCUAGAUAGAGUUAUGAUAAUGACAUUUUCUAUCUAYGUGUCUUGACCAAAUCACGUGCCAGCAGUCGCGGUAAUACGUGGGAGACUAGUGUUAUUCAUCUUUAAUAGGUUUAAAGGGUACUUAGACKGUUGAUUAARCCUCAAAWGGUACUAAWCAWCUAGAGUUUUAUGCAAGAAGGGGAGUACUAAAGAGUGUAGAGAUGAAAUUCUGUCAUACCUGACUUGGAACAGACAACGGCGAAAGCNACCUUUUAUGUAAAAACUGACGUUGAAAGACGAAGGCUUAGGACACCAACAGGAUUAGAUACCCCAGCAGUCUAAGCAGACAAUGAUGAAUGUCAUAGAUUAGAAUUAUAAUUUU